GGGGGGGGGGGGGGGGGGGGGGGGGGCGGGGGGGUGGGGCGGCAGCACGGUAGGGGCUUGCUCUUACGGGUGGCGAGUGGCGGACGGGAGGGGAAGGCAUCGGAAUCUACUUUGGCGGGGGGGAGACGGUGGGGAAACUUACCCAACACCGCAUGCGGACCUCCGGUGGAAACAAGGGGCCCUCGGUCCCUUCCACGAUAACUGAGGCCGAUGUCGGAUUACCGAGUUGGCGGGGAAAAGGCCCACCAAGGCGACGAUCCGUAGCUGGUCUGAGAGGAUGAUCAGCCACACUGGAACUGAGACACGGUCCAGACUCCUACGGGAGGCAGCAGUGGGGAAUAUUGGACAAUGGGCGCAAGCCUGAUCCAGCCAUACCGCGUGGGUGAAGAAGGCCUUCGGGUUGUAAAGCCCUUUUGUUGGGAAAGAAAAGCAGCAGGUUAAUACCCCGCUGUUCUGACGGUACCCAAAGAAUAAGCACCGGCUAACUUCGUG
Molecule: ribosomal RNA, 492 nt
Filed under: uncultured bacterium
Lineage: Bacteria
Description: partial 16S ribosomal RNA
Rfam family: Bacterial small subunit ribosomal RNA
Source: RNAcentral